UGAACGCUGGCGGCGUGCUUAACACAUGCAAGUCGAACGAUGACCCGGUGCUUGCACCGGUGAUUAGUGGCGAACGGGUGAGUAACACGUGAGUAACCUGCCCUUAACUCUGGGAUAAGCCUGGUAAACUGGGUCUAAUACCGGAUAUGACUCCUCAUCGCAUGGUGGGGGGUGGAAAGCUUUAUUGUGGUUUUGGAUGGACUCGCGGCCUAUCAGCUUGUUGGUGAGGUAAUGGCUCACCAAGGCGACGACGGGUAGCCGGCCUGAGAGGGUGACCGGCCACACUGGGACUGAGACACGGCCCAGACUCCUACGGGAGGCAGCAGUGGGGAAUAUUGCACAAUGGGCGCAAGCCUGAUGCAGCGACGCCGCGUGAGGGAUGACGGCCUUCGGGUUGUAAACCUCUUUCAGUAGGGAAGAAGCGAAAGUGACGGUACCUGCAGAAGAAGCGCCGGCUAACUACGUGCCAGCAGCCGCGGUAAUACGUAGGGCGCAAGCGUUAUCCGGAAUUAUUGGGCGUAAAGAGCUCGUAGGCGGUUUGUCGCGUCUGCCGUGAAAGUCCGGGGCUCAACUCCGGAUCUGCGGUGGGUACGGGCAGACUAGAGUGAUGUAGGGGAGACUGGAAUUCCUGGUGUAGCGGUGAAAUGCGCAGAUAUCAGGAGGAACACCGAUGGCGAAGGCAGGUCUCUGGGCAUUAACUGACGCUGAGGAG
This 712-nucleotide ribosomal RNA is filed under the name uncultured bacterium. RNAcentral's name for it is "bacterial SSU rRNA". It matches the Rfam family "Bacterial small subunit ribosomal RNA", at positions 30 to 753 of the family's 1533-position model. The record is from RNAcentral.